CCUACGGGCGGCUGCAGUGGGGGAUAUUGCACAAUGGGGGAAACCCUGAUGCAGCGACGCCGCGUGAGUGAAGAAGUAUUUCGGUAUGUAAAGCUCUAUCAUCAGGGAAGAAAAUUACAGUACCGGACCAAGAAGCCCCGGGCAACUACGUGCCAGCAGCCGCGGUAAUACGAAGGGGGCGAGCGUUAGCCGGAUUUACUGGGGGUAAAGGGAGCGUAGACGGUUAUGUAAGUCCGGGGUGAAAGCCCGGGGCCCAACCCCGGGACUGCUUUGGAAACUGUGUAACUGGAGUACAGGAGGGGCAGGCGGAAUUCCUGGUGUAGCGGUGAAAUGCGUAGAUAUCAGGAAGAACACCGACGGCGAAGGCGGCCUGCUGGGCUGAAACUGACGUUGAGGCUCGAAAGCGUGGGGAGCAAACAGGAUUAGAUACCCCAGUAGUC
Molecule: ribosomal RNA, 440 nt
Filed under: uncultured bacterium
Lineage: Bacteria
Description: partial 16S ribosomal RNA
Rfam family: Bacterial small subunit ribosomal RNA
Source: RNAcentral